GUGAACGCUGGCGGUAGGCCUAACACAUGCAAGUCGAACGGCAGCACAGUAAGAGCUUGCUCUUACGGGUGGCGAGUGGCGGACGGGUGAGGAAUACAUCGGAAUCUACUUUUUCGUGGGGGAUAACGUAGGGAAACUACCGCUAAUCCGGCAUACGCCCUAGGGGCGAAGCCGGGGGAUCUCCGGACCUGUUGCGAUUAAUUGUCCGGAUGUGGGAUUAGCUAGUUGGCGGGGUAAAGGCCCACCAAGGCGACGAUCCGUAGCUGGUCUGAGAGGAUGAUCAGCCACACUGGAACUGAGACACGGUCCAGACUCCUACGGGAGGCAGCAGCGGGGAAUAUUGGACAAUGGGCGCAAGCCUGAUCCAGCCAUACCGCGUGGGUGAAGAAGGCCUUCGGGUUGUAAAGCCCUUUUGUUGGGAAAGAAAAGCAGCAGGUUAAUUCCCCGCUGUUCUGACGGUACCCAAAGAAUAAGCACCGGCUAACUUCGUG
Molecule: ribosomal RNA, 491 nt
Filed under: uncultured bacterium
Lineage: Bacteria
Description: partial 16S ribosomal RNA
Rfam family: Bacterial small subunit ribosomal RNA
Source: RNAcentral